Molecule: non-coding RNA, 72 nt
Organism: Caerostris darwini
Lineage: Eukaryota; Metazoa; Arthropoda; Arachnida; Araneae; Araneidae
Source: the annotation of a GenBank genome assembly
UCACCGAAGUCAAGCAUCAUUGGGCGCGGUCAGUACUUGGGUGGGUGACCACCUGGGAACACUGCGUGCCGU